RNAcentral lists this ribosomal RNA (254 nucleotides) under uncultured bacterium. RNAcentral describes it as "partial 16S ribosomal RNA". It matches the Rfam family "Bacterial small subunit ribosomal RNA", at positions 524 to 776 of the family's 1533-position model. The record is from RNAcentral.
UACGCAGGGUGCAAGCGUUAAUCGGAAUUACUGGGCGUAAAGCGUGCGCAGGCGGUCUGUUAAGACCGAUGUGAAAUCCCCGGGCUUAACCUGGGAACUGCAUUGGUGACUGGCAGGCUUUGAGUGUGGCAGAGGGAGGUAGAAUUCCACGUGUAGCAGUGAAAUGCGUAGAGAUGUGGAGGAAUACCGAUGGCGAAGGCAGCCUCCUGGGCCAACACUGACGCUCAUGCACGAAAGCGUGGGGAGCAAACAGG